Molecule: ribosomal RNA, 492 nt
Filed under: uncultured bacterium
Lineage: Bacteria
Description: bacterial SSU rRNA
Rfam family: Bacterial small subunit ribosomal RNA
Source: RNAcentral
GAUCAUGGCUCAGAUUGAACGCUGGCGGCAGGCCUAACACAUGCAAGUCGAGCGAGAAAGGUCUUCGGGCUGAGUACAGCGGCGGACGGGUGAGUAACGCGUAGGAAUCUACCUGGGUAGUGGGGGGACAACAUGGUGAAAACCAUGCUAAUACCGCAUACGCCCUAUGGGGAAAGCGGGGGACCUUCGGGCCUCGCGCUAUCAGAUGAGCCUGCGUAGGAUUAGCUAGUUGGUGGGGUAAAGGCCUACCAAGGCUUCGAUGGAUAGCUGGUCUGAGAGGAUGAUCAGCCACACUGGAACUGAGACACGGUCCAGACUCCUACGGGAGGCAGCAGUGGGGAAUAUUGCGCAAUGGGCGAAAGCCUGACGCAGCAACGCCGCGUGUGUGAUGAAGGCCUUCGGGUUGUAAAGCACUGUUCAGAGGGAAGAAAUGGCGGGGGUAAACACUUCGUUUUGACGGUACCUCUGAAGAAAGCACUGGCUAACUCCGUG